Molecule: ribosomal RNA, 356 nt
Filed under: uncultured bacterium
Lineage: Bacteria
Description: partial 16S ribosomal RNA
Rfam family: Bacterial small subunit ribosomal RNA
Source: RNAcentral
CCUACGGGUGGCAGCAGUGGGGAAUAUUGGGCAAUGGGCGCAAGCCUGACCCAGCAACGCCGCGUGAAGGAAGAAGGCUUUCGGGUUGUAAACUUCUUUUCUCAGGGAAGAAGCAAGUGACGGUACCUGAGGAAUAAGCCACGGCUAACUACGUGCCAGCAGCCGCGGUAAUCCGUAGGUGGCAAGCGUUAUCCGUAUUUACUGGGUGUAAAGGUCGUGUAGGCGGGGACGCAAGUCAGAUGUGAAAAACAAGGGCUCAACCUGUGGCCUGCAUUUGAAACUGUGUUUCUUGAGUACUGGAGAGGAUGGCAGAAUUCCGGGUGUAGCGGUGAAAUGCGUAGAUAUCAGGAGGAAUA